AGUUGAAAAGUACUUGCAGUUGCAACUCCUCUUCCUCAAGAGAUCCUCUUUCUCAACCAAAUAAGAACUGAAGCUCGAUUCCAUUAGGUAUUCAAUGUGGAUCCAACCUCAUGUAGAUUAUGUGGAUAGAGUAUUGUUGGUAAUCCAUCAAUUUAACCUCAGAGACAGGUACUAGAGAUCAUCAACCGACGCAUCGUUGAAGAUUUUCUCACUUCUAGCUAGUUGGUGAGUCCUCCCAGUUUCCGGAGGAUACCGAGAUUAUCUUUAUAGCUUUGUUUUGUUUCCUUUAUUUUAAUUAUUGGUAGCCAUGGACUUGUCAUUGGCACCUCCUGGAUUAUUGAUAGAGGCUUCAUAGACUAGA
This is a long non-coding RNA of Solanum dulcamara, 361 nucleotides long. RefSeq lists it as uncharacterized. The transcript has 3 exons. The record is from RefSeq and is a predicted model, not a curated record. NCBI's taxonomy places the organism in Eukaryota, Viridiplantae, Streptophyta, Magnoliopsida, Solanales, Solanaceae.